UAGCAGUAGGGGAAUCUUCCACAAUGGACGAAAGUCUGACGGAGCAACGCCGCGUGAGUGAUGAAGGCUUUCGGGUCGUAAAACUCUGUUGUUAGGGAAGAACAAGUGCUAGUUGAAUAAGCUGGCACCUUGACGGUACCUAACCAGAAAGCCACGGCUAACUACGUGCCAGCAGCCGCGGUAAUACGUAGGUGGCAAGCGUUAUCCGGAAUUAUUGGGCGUAAAGCGCGCGCAGGUGGUUUCUUAAGUCUGAUGUGAAAGCCCACGGCUCAACCGUGGAGGGUCAUGGAAACUGGGAGACUGAGUCAGAAAGAAAG
RNAcentral lists this ribosomal RNA (317 nucleotides) under uncultured Aerococcus sp. RNAcentral's name for it is "bacterial SSU rRNA". It matches the Rfam family "Bacterial small subunit ribosomal RNA", at positions 349 to 657 of the family's 1533-position model. The record is from RNAcentral. Lineage: Bacteria; Bacillati; Bacillota; Bacilli; Lactobacillales; Aerococcaceae.